This 304-nucleotide long non-coding RNA is filed under the name Brachypodium distachyon (stiff brome). Its description in RNAcentral is "long non-coding RNA (BDIS_LNC000432)". Lineage: Eukaryota; Viridiplantae; Streptophyta; Magnoliopsida; Poales; Poaceae. The record is from RNAcentral.
GAACAAAUCGACGUGCUGACCAAAUGCAACUUCCUGUACACACAUUUCUUAAUCUGCGCGUAUAAAUUAGCCUAAAUUGAGCUCACAUUGAUGAAAUAGUUCCACACAAACACCGAUUGAAAAAUCUGUACAUACAAGUUCUUCCAGCAUAGUACUUUCCAUGAAUCAUACAGUGCCACCGCGUUAAUUAGCACAAACACUAAUCGGUGGAGCAUAGCAAUCUGUAUCAUACAUGUGCUGAAACAAGAACGGAUUGCAAAGUUGGGAUGAUGAUAACAUUGGAUCGAAUGGCAAGAAAUUAUGA